GGGUUGUGAGGUUAAGCGACUAAGCGUACACGGUGGAUGCCCUGGCAGUCAGAGGCGAUGAAGGGCGUGCUAAUCUGCGAUAAGCGCCGGUAAGGUGAUAUGAACCGUUAUAACCGGCGAUACCCGAAUGGGGAAACCCAGUGUGAUUCGUCACACUAUCAUUAACUGAAUCCAUAGGUUAAUGAGGCGAACCGGGGGAACUGAAACAUCUAAGUACCCCGAGGAAAAGAAAUCAACCGAGAUUCCCCCAGUAGCGGCGAGCGAACGGGGAGGAGCCCAGAGCCUGAAUCAGCAUGUGUGUUAGUGGAAGCGUCUGGAAAGGCGCGCGAUACAGGGUGACAGCCCCGUACACAAAAGCGCAUGUGCUGUGAGCUCGAUGAGUAGGGCGGGACACGUGGUAUCCUGUCUGAAUAUGGGGGGACCAUCCUCCAAGGCUAAAUACUCCUGACUGACCGAUAGUGAACCAGUACCGUGAGGGAAAGGCGAAAAGAACCCCGGCGAGGGGAGUGAAAAAGAACCUGAAACCGUGUACGUACAAGCAGUGGGAGCACAGGUUUACCUGUGUGACUGCGUACCUUUUGUAUAAUGGGUCAGCGACUUAUAUUCUGUAGCAAGGUUAACCGUAUAGGGGAGCCGUAGGGAAACCGAGUCUUAACCGGGCGUUAAGUUGCAGGGUAUAGACCCGAAACCCGGUGAUCUAGCCAUGGGCAGGUUGAAGGUUGGGUAACACUAACUGGAGGACCGAACCGACUAAUGUUGAAAAAUUAGCGGAUGACCUGUGGCUGGGGGUGAAAGGCCAAUCAAACCGGGAGAUAGCUGGUUCUCCCCGAAAGCUAUUUAGGUAGCGCCUCGUGAACUCAUCUCCGGGGGUAGAGCACUGUUUCGGCUAGGGGGCCAUCCCGGCUUACCAACCCGAUGCAAACUGCGAAUACCGGAGAAUGUUAUCACGGGAGACACACGGCGGGUGCUAACGUCCGUCGUGAAGAGGGAAACAACCCAGACCGCCAGCUAAGGUCCCAAAGUCAUGGUUAAGUGGGAAACGAUGUGGGAAGGCCCAGACAGCCAGGAUGUUGGCUUAGAAGCAGCCAUCAUUUAAAGAAAGCGUAAUAGCUCACUGGUCGAGUCGGCCUGCGCGGAAGAUGUAACGGGGCUAAACCAUGCACCGAAGCUGCGGCAGCGACACUAUGUGUUGUUGGGUAGGGGAGCGUUCUGUAAGCCUGUGAAGGUGUGUCGUGAGGCAUGCUGGAGGUAUCAGAAGUGCGAAUGCUGACAUAAGUAACGAUAAAGCGGGUGAAAAGCCCGCUCGCCGGAAGACCAAGGGUUCCUGUCCAACGUUAAUCGGGGCAGGGUGAGUCGACCCCUAAGGCGAGGCCGAAAGGCGUAGUCGAUGGGAAACAGGUUAAUAUUCCUGUACUUGGUGUUACUGCGAAGGGGGGACGGAGAAGGCUAUGUUGGCCGGGCGACGGUUGUCCCGGUUUAAGCGUGUAGGUGUGUGUUCCAGGUAAAUCCGGUUCACUUUAACACUGAGGCGUGAUGACGAGGCACUACGGUGCUGAAGCAACAAAUGCCCUGCUUCCAGGAAAAGCCUCUAAGCAUCAGGUAACAUCAAAUCGUACCCCAAACCGACACAGGUGGUCAGGUAGAGAAUACCAAGGCGCUUGAGAGAACUCGGGUGAAGGAACUAGGCAAAAUGGUGCCGUAACUUCGGGAGAAGGCACGCUGACAUGUAGGUGAAGUGAUUUACUCAUGGAGCUGAAGUCAGUCGAAGAUACCAGCUGGCUGCAACUGUUUAUUAAAAACACAGCACUGUGCAAACACGAAAGUGGACGUAUACGGUGUGACGCCUGCCCGGUGCCGGAAGGUUAAUUGAUGGGGUCAGCGCAAGCGAAGCUCCUGAUCGAAGCCCCGGUAAACGGCGGCCGUAACUAUAACGGUCCUAAGGUAGCGAAAUUCCUUGUCGGGUAAGUUCCGACCUGCACGAAUGGCGUAAUGAUGGCCAGGCUGUCUCCACCCGAGACUCAGUGAAAUUGAACUCGCUGUGAAGAUGCAGUGUACCCGCGGCAAGACGGAAAGACCCCGUGAACCUUUACUAUAGCUUGACACUGAACAUUGAGCCUUGAUGUGUAGGAUAGGUGGGAGGCUUUGAAGCGUGGACGCCAGUCUGCGUGGAGCCGACCUUGAAAUACCACCCUUUAAUGUUUGAUGUUCUAACGUGGACCCGUAAUCCGGGUUGCGGACAGUGUCUGGUGGGUAGUUUGACUGGGGCGGUCUCCUCCUAAAGAGUAACGGAGGAGCACGAAGGUUGGCUAAUCCUGGUCGGACAUCAGGAGGUUAGUGCAAUGGCAUAAGCCAGCUUGACUGCGAGCGUGACGGCGCGAGCAGGUGCGAAAGCAGGUCAUAGUGAUCCGGUGGUUCUGAAUGGAAGGGCCAUCGCUCAACGGAUAAAAGGUACUCCGGGGAUAACAGGCUGAUACCGCCCAAGAGUUCAUAUCGACGGCGGUGUUUGGCACCUCGAUGUCGGCUCAUCACAUCCUGGGGCUGAAGUAGGUCCCAAGGGUAUGGCUGUUCGCCAUUUAAAGUGGUACGCGAGCUGGGUUUAGAACGUCGUGAGACAGUUCGGUCCCUAUCUGCCGUGGGCGCUGGAGAACUGAGGGGGGCUGCUCCUAGUACGAGAGGACCGGAGUGGACGCAUCACUGGUGUUCGGGUUGUCAUGCCAAUGGCACUGCCCGGUAGCUAAAUGCGGAAGAGAUAAGUGCUGAAAGCAUCUAAGCACGAAACUUGCCCCGAGAUGAGUUCUCCCUGAGACUUAGAGUCUCCUGAAGGAACGUUGAAGACGACGACGUUGAUAGGCCGGGUGUGUAAGCGCAGCGAUGCGUUGAGCUAACCGGUACUAAUGAACCGUGAGGCUUAACCUUACAACGCCGAAG
This 2928-nucleotide ribosomal RNA is filed under the name Salmonella enterica subsp. enterica serovar Reading. Its description in RNAcentral is "23S ribosomal RNA". It matches the Rfam family "Bacterial large subunit ribosomal RNA". Lineage: Bacteria; Pseudomonadati; Pseudomonadota; Gammaproteobacteria; Enterobacterales; Enterobacteriaceae. The record is from RNAcentral.